GUCUAUGGCCAUGCUACCCUGAACAAGCCCGAUCCCAUCUGAUCUCAGAAGCUAAGCAGGAUGGGGCCUGGUUAGUACUUGGAUGGGAGACCACCUAAGACCAGAUUCUGUAGGCA
Molecule: ribosomal RNA, 116 nt
Filed under: Pteropus alecto (black flying fox)
Lineage: Eukaryota; Metazoa; Chordata; Mammalia; Chiroptera; Pteropodidae
Source: RNAcentral